This 463-nucleotide ribosomal RNA is filed under the name uncultured bacterium. RNAcentral's name for it is "bacterial SSU rRNA". It matches the Rfam family "Bacterial small subunit ribosomal RNA", at positions 28 to 532 of the family's 1533-position model. The record is from RNAcentral.
GACGAACGCUGGCGGCAGGCUUAACACAUGCAAGUCGAACGCUCGUAGCAAUACGGGAGUGGCGGACGGGUGAGUAACGCGUGGGAACGUGCCCUGAGGUACGGAAUAACUGAGGGAAACUUCAGCUAAUACCGUAUGAGCCCCGAGAGGGGGAAAGAUUUAUCGCCUUGGGAGCGGCCCGCGUCGGAUUAGCUAGUUGGUGGGGUAACGGCCUACCAAGGCUUCGAUCCGUAGCUGGUCUGAGAGGACGAUCAGCCACACUGGGACUGAGACACGGCCCAGACUCCUACGGGAGGCAGCAGUGGGGAAUCUUGCGCAAUGGGGGCAACCCUGACGCAGCCAUGCCGCGUGAACGAUGAAGGCCUUAGGGUUGUAAAGUUCUUUUACCCGUGACGAUGAUGACGGUAACGGGGGAAUAAGCUCCGGCUAACUUCGUGCCAGCAGCCGCGUAAUGUCGAUAUCG